Molecule: unclassified non-coding RNA, 5593 nt
Filed under: Lucilia cuprina (Australian sheep blowfly)
Lineage: Eukaryota; Metazoa; Arthropoda; Insecta; Diptera; Calliphoridae
Description: metacaspase-2-like, transcript variant X2
Source: RNAcentral
UGCGAUUAUAACGGUUUCAAAUUUCUCGAGCAACACGCGUUAAUAAAAUAAAAAAAUAGUUAAAGUGAUUAAAUAGAAUUCAUUAGAAGAUUUUUAGAGAAAAAUAAAUAUAUUACAAUCAAAGUUAAUCAUAAAAGUGCGUAUAUUAAAUAAAAUUAACUAAUAUUGCAAACUAUGUGAAUAAAAAACAUUCCACAACACGGCCAUUUUGAAAUGUUUGCAAAAAAAGUUUAUAUGUGAAUUUCAUAAGUCUCAACAAUAAUAAUGGAUUGCAAUAAUACUGUAAAGGAUUUGGAACGCUUGGAAGAGCAAAUUUUUUACUAUAAACCCUCCCUUAAGUCUACGGAUCAGAGACAAAAUGUAAGUAAUUGUCUGCGCAACCAGUUAAUUGAUUCUAAAGCCGUUGUCCGGAUUCAACGUAUGGAUGCAGAAUGUGAGAAUUUAAUGAUAAGUCUGAAGCAGAGAUUAAUGUUAUUACAAGAUAUUUUAAUGCCAAAGGCCAAGGAGCGGCAAUUGUCACGCCAUGAAAAUGAGUUAAAGGACAAUGAGGAAGUAUUGAAAUUAAAUUUAUCCUCCGACUCCAGUGAUGACGAAACGUUAAGUAGCAUAAAGGCCAAACAAAGACAAGCAGAUUUGCAAAGAAUAGGAAUAGCUAAAAAGGGUAAAAUGAAAUCAAUUGAAGCACAGCUGGCUGAUACUUCGGAACCUAAUGAUUCUUAUUUACCCCUGGCAUUGCGUCGGAAACCAAGAGAAAGAAAACUAAGUUAUAAAAGUUUCAGUAGCUCAGCUUCUACCUCGCAUUCGCACAAUAAACGCACUACCAAAUUACAAAAUAAACAGGAACACACGGUCACUACUUCGGGAGUGGCAUUUCAUAGCGACGAAAUGUUAUUGGAGCAGGAAGAAGUAGAUACAACUCCUACGUUGCAUAUAAAAAUUCCCUCUUUACAUCGUGGUAAUGUACAUUAUAUUAUUUUAGAUAGUUUGAACUUUGCCCGUAAAGUUUUCGAUUAUCGGGCCAAUGAAAUUAAACAACAACAGCAGCAGAAAGCUUCCAUUACUCAUACGACAAGCAAAUCAACAAAAUCACGUAAAAAACAGGUAAAAUCUCUACCCUCAACAGUUGUUGAGCAAUUGACACAUCAAGACCAGGAAUUAGAAUUGUCGCAACUAAUACAAGAUGUUAUGGCUGAAGCUUGUAAUGAUGAGACUCUACAGGCCACAAAUGCUUUGGAAAAUAUUAACAAUAAUAUUAUAGAUAAUUAUGAUCCUAUAGGAAAUGAUAAUUUCAUCAACUACUCACAGUCUUCACAAGAGUUAACAUUUUCACAAAAUUCAAAUAUUAUAGUUGAUACUGUCUGCAGUACUAGUGGCGCUAAUAGUUCACACAAAAAGCCGCGUAAAAAUUCUAAACGUACAAACGAACAGCAGCAACAGCUACACGAUGAACCUCCCAAAAAAAGAGGACGUAAACCGAAAAAGAAAAAUGCUUCCGAUGAUCUACAGUUGCAACCACAACCACCCACUAAAAGUAAUUUGGCUAAAUAUGUAGAAUUUUUUGCAAAUGAUUGUGAGCUAUUGCCAGGUUCAACUACACCAGCUGCUUCAUCAACCCGUUCACAACCUUUAGUUUCAUCAACUACCCAUAAUUUUGAAGUUAUAGAUCAACUUGCUCCACAACAGCAACAACAUGAACAACAAAAUUCUCAGCAACAGCAGCCUAUAACGUAUUAUAUUGAUGGUGAUUGGGCUAAUGGUGGUCCUUGUCAAUUGGUUGCUACCAAUGGUAUGUCCGUCGAUACCAGACAGCUGAAUCAAGAAGAUAUGAAUGCUCCUUUUCAGGAUUUUGUUAAUUACAUUGACAAUAGUAGCGACUCGGGUAAUAAUGUUAUAGCCCGUGUUCUAGAGAACAACAACAGUUUACCCAUUUCAAUACCACUGCCCAUAGCAAAUCGCGGACUUCAAAAUAAAAAUCAAUCUCAAGCACCACCUACACGCCCAAUACAACAAACCAUACAAGCUUCAUAUGUACCCGUUAUAAAUAUACAAAUUCCCAGUUUACCAAACAACAUAACUAGUCCAACUGCCCCACCACCAGCUCACACCCAUAAAGAUGUUCUAGAUCUUAGUGUUAAAUCAAAGCCCAAUACCAAUAUUAUCACUAGCGAAGUAUUAAAUCUUAAUCAAAUAUCAAAUAACUUGGAAAAUUCCUGCUUAGUCGAAGAGGAUGACUGCGUGCCAUUGGAUCUGUCAGCAAAAAGUACAAAUGCAAAAAAACAAAUUACCGAUAAUAAUCAUGUUACUAUUGAUAAGCAAGAUGAGGAUUUUAUACGACGUCUUAUAGAACAAAAUGAUUUUGAAUAUUCUGCGGAUGCAAUGAAAAAAGGUGCUGAGGAUGCUCCAGCAUUAUCUUAUGAUAGUAGUAAAUCGUUUAAAGCGGCUUUGGAUAUGCCAUUAUUAGAUUUUGAUGCCACCGAUUUGGCACAGUUGGUGGAAAAUACAACAACAGCAAGUAGUAAAGAAGCGGAAAACUUAACAGAUAAAAUCGUUUACAAUAAUUCCCCAAAUAAUGAAGAUUCCAAUUAUGUCACCAUGUCUGCAGUAAACUCAUCUAUAGAAACUAAUCUACACUUUACAGAUCAAUCUACUACAGAAAUUUUCAAUAAGUUAUUAGAUAUCUGUCCAGAUAAUCAAUUUUUGGAUAAUAUAAGCAGUGAAUUCAUUUCGAAUGAUAAUUUAAACGAAAGUGUAUUUGAUCACUGUAGAGUAGAGAAUUCAACAAUGUAUGAAUCAGUAAAUCAAAAGCAAAACAGCAUUUGUGAUACAACCUCACAAAAGGAUAAUCAAGAUACAGAUAAUAGUACAUCAAUCGAUGAACCUUCUUCAUCUACUUCUACUUCUUUAGCCGUUCAAAUCGACAGUUCUAAUAAAACUUCUUCUAUAGAUUUAAAUAUUUCAAUGUCUUCUGAUAUGUCAGUUAAUUUUAAAUUUUGCGAUAAUAAUGAUCAGCAGGAGUUUAAAGAUGCUAAAGUAGAUAAAUCUGAAAAUUUAAAUAAAAGUGAAAAUGAAAAAGUUUGCAUAGAUCCAAAGACAACUACUACGAUAGAUGAGCACAAAGAAGUUCAGUUACAAGAUACAGAAAAAACUUUAGAAAAUAAUAAUAAAAAUGAAAAGUGUUUAAAUAAUUCACUAAAUAAUAAUAAUAUAAAUAAAGAUAAAACUAAACAUCUAGUUAACAAAAAAGCUAAUUCUGAAAAUUGUGAAAAAUCUGUAGCUGAUGAAAUAUCUAAUAAUAUCGAAAAAGUAAUAAAUAAUAAAAGUUUACAAAAAAGCCAAGAAAAUAUUACAAAAGUUGAAUCUGCUCCGGAAAAUGUUGACGAUAAAUGUUUAUCUAAAACAUGUGAAAUUAAAAUUGAUGAAAAAAUUAGUAUAGAUGUUGCAAAUACCAAAAAAGUAGCAAAUAAAUGUACUAAAGAUGUAAACCAUAACAAUAAAUCUAUGCUGGACACUUCUCACCAUCAAACCAUAUCUAAACCCAAAGAGAAUAUUGUAUUUUCGGUAGCAAAGAUAACUUUAACCGAAGAUGAUAUUUUGUAUAGCACCGAUAGUAGUGAUACCGCUAGUGGAAAAUCAUGUGAUGUUAACGAAGCGAAACCAAUGGAUAUUGACAACGAGAUAAAGGAAUCACAAGAUUUAAAUAAUAAAAAAGAAAAUACUAUUCACGAAAAUGAAAAGAAAGAUACAACAACUAAAAAACUAAAUCAAGAGAAGGAGAGUAAUAAUACAAAAUCUAAAGAAGCUGUGUGCAUAGAUAAUGCAACAAUAAAUUCUUCUAGUUAUUGCAAUGAAAUAGUAAAUCUAAGUCUUAGUGUAGAAAACGAUAACAAAACUUCUAGUGCAGAAAGAGAUGCAGUAAUGAAAGAUCUAACUAUUGCAAAUAUAAAAAAUACAAUUAUAGAUAAAGAACCUAAAUAUACCGACAAUGAUAAUGAACAUUCCAAUGAUUCCGUUAUAAGCUGUUAUUACAAUGAUGAUUUUAAUCUUUUAGCCAAUGAAAUGAAAACUAAUCAAAGUUCUUUUAAUGAUGUCAUGAAUUUGAGUGUUUCUUCUUUAAAAAAUACUAAUGAAAGUAGUGAGGAAGUUAUUUUAAAUAUUCACAAUACCGAUGAUGAGGAUGAUGUUCUAUUGAAUGCUGAAAAUAAUACGAAUUUGGAGAAUAAUGCUAAAAAAGAUAAAUCUCAAAAUAAAGAGGACAAAAUCGUUGAGUUGGAUAUAAAUCAAGAAAAUUUAACUCUCUUAGAAUUGGAAUCUAAAUUGGAAGAUUCUUUAGAUUUUGAUGAAGAUUUCGAUGAUGCUUUAUCGUUGGCUACUUCGUGUUUUGACUCACCAAAUGAAGAUCGUUUUGGGGAUUCAAUUGUUGACGUUGAUGAUACCACAAUAACCAGUGUCCCAAAAACAGCAGCACAGGAAGUGGCACAAAAUACUGAAAAAACUAAUACUACUUCAGCAACCAAAGAUUUAAAACAUUUCAAAAUACCUAAACUUAAUAUAACAACAACAACAAAGACACAAGAUUUCGAAAAUGAACCAACACAAACAAAACAAAAUACCACAAUAACAACAAAUACUGUGCCAAAAAUACAACUACUUACAAAUAUGGAAAAACUAACUAGAACGGUUAAAAAUGAUUUAAUACAAUCUCAAGAAAAUCCUAAAGAUAUUAAUUUAACAACAAAUUCUGAACAUGUAACAACUACAUCAGCUAUAGUUGAAAUAAUAUCUAAAGUUUUUGGUAUAACCUGUUUGCCUUAUUUGAUUGACAAAUGUUUUGCCAUAACACAUUGUCAAUUAUCACAUCAAUUUAACGAUAGUGAUACAGUUUAUCAAUAUUUAAAUACAUUAGACAAAUUCACAGUAAACUUGGCCUAUCGCGUUCUCUAUAAUCAUUCGAAACUUUUUAUUAUAUAUUUUAAAGUAUUUUGUGCUUAUUACACAACUAAAAAUGAUCGCUCGAAGUUGCUGAAUAUGUUAAAUGAUUGUGAACGUUAUCCUGAAUAUGCGGAAUAUAUGAUGGACAUAUAUGAGUCAUUAGUUAAAUGUGGAUUCAGUCGUGUUAAUGCCUGCCGACAAAUAUUAAAACGUAUACGUGAAUUGACCUCGGACACGACUAUUAUAGAUGUGCUGAUCGCCAUAAUAAUGAAAUCAGAUUGGACAAUGUUUACGGAUUUUAUAGAGAAAUAUACACAAGAAAUGUAUAAAUAUAAUUAUCGUAUUGGUAUUCUAGAACAAAUGGCUCCGGCAGUGUUAAAUAGCAAAGGACCACAUCUAAAGCAGGUCUUUGGAAAAUGUGUACAAACAUUACAUUGUGAUGAAACAGGUCUUUUGCUUAAUUCUCCCAGUCUUAUACAAUGUGUGGCUCUACUAACCACCACCGCCGCCACCACCAGCAUUACGUAAUAAAUUGGCGAAAACUCAAUGCAAAAGAAUUUUUACUUUAUUAUUUUAUUUUAUGCCAUUAAGACGACCAAGCAAGAGAUGUACAAAAAACAAACGACGACGAAUUACCUUAUGGAAAGGUAUUUAUUUAAUUAAU